This 31-nucleotide non-coding RNA is filed under the name Mus musculus (house mouse). The record is from RNAcentral. Lineage: Eukaryota; Metazoa; Chordata; Mammalia; Rodentia; Muridae.
UUCGGUGCACCAUUUUCUUUUUGUCUAAUGU